GGCGGGCAGUUCGGCCCGGAGGCGAGCAUCUUCACCGUGCUGGCCGGUGUGCUGGUCACGGCGGCGUUCCUGGUGCUGGCCCGCCGCC
RNAcentral lists this transfer RNA (88 nucleotides) under Actinoplanes regularis. RNAcentral describes it as "tRNA-Sec". The record is from RNAcentral. Lineage: Bacteria; Bacillati; Actinomycetota; Actinomycetes; Micromonosporales; Micromonosporaceae.